AGGAAAAUGCAAAAUGAGACUCGGCUAGAAAUUGCAUCUAUAUAUCACACAGAUGCCAUGUGGGGAUGCAUCAAUGACUUCACCAUUGUCAUCAUUGAGUGAUGAGCCCCAACCAAAAGAGAAUUUAUUGUCUAUACUCAAAGCCCCAGGUUCUAUGGGUGAGUGUCCAGAAGUGUCCUUAAAGAAUGUAGGCAAUUGGAGUUAGUUUUUUUUACUAUCGUAGUGAAUUUCAUUAGUUAUAGGAAGCUCUUUUUUAAUGCCUCUAUUUUUCUCUUUCACAUCCUAAAAGAAUUACUUUCUUGCUUCCUAUUUCUUGGGUUAGAUUAGAGGACUACUGGAAAGCCAGUCUCCUUUGCCUUGGAAGUACCUACUUUCAUGCCUCCUAUUUCUUGCAUUUGUUGCACACGGUCACAUAAAUGCUACCACAAAUAUUAAAAAAUGGCAUGUUUCACGCAUAGUUUUGCAAACACAUUGAUGAUGGCUCCUUGAAGAACUCAUUAUCAAGUUAUUCUAUCUGGUUCUGGAUGUUCUCAUGGAUACUAAUCAUUGCAUUUCUGUUCAACAGGAUGAUGAUUUAGAUGAAUCGAUUUACACUCCAGGUUUGUUGGUUUGAGCUAAUCCCUUUUUUUCUUUUACUUUUCUCCAUAAUCUUUCAAAAAGGGACAAAAUCUUCAUAAUUCAUUAAUUCUUUUUUCCAUAUAGAUUGCUGAUGUGUUGUUGGGAGCACGUCAUCUCAAAAUUACAAAAGAUUAUAGUUCUAUUUUUUUUCCUCCAUUGAAUCUGUUUUGGAGUAGUUCCAUACUUUGUUUCAUUUAUUUUUCAAAAAUAAAAUAUAAAAAUUACAGUUCAUCUAAAAAAAUCAUGGUUCACAGUUCCAUGUUCAGUUUCUUGGAAUAGAACAGUUCCAUAGUUCAUAAUAGUCACUUCUUGGGCUGCAAUGGCCAAGAAGUGAAAAUAGAAAACUAUGGAUUCAGUUAUCCAAACCAGUAAUAUGAUGGGUUUCACUAUUGAUGACCCACACACCAAAGUUCCUCAAGAUUGAAAUAUUCCAACCCUUCAAUACCCAGCCAAGAAGUACACAUUUAAGAAAGAAAAAAUAGUGAUAGUUCGAACUCAAUAGAAAACUGGCCAAAUAUCAAUGACUAGGAUCUAGCAAUCUUGGUUUUUUUUUUUUGGGUUGCAUCACAUCAACAAUUUGAACCAUACUUCUUUGUCAUUUUACGUCUACUUAUUUAUAACAUGCGGGCUUUUCUCUAGAUUGGUCAUAACAUGUUCUAGUAGAGGAACCUACUUCAAAUGAUGUUGGUUCUUCAGUUCUCAUUUUUGGUCCCUUAGUUAUUGGACCUUAUCAUAAAAGCUACCUUCUCCUAUGGUCCAUCUGCUUUGUAUUUUUUCCGAUCAAAGGAGGAAAAGGAGAUCCUUCUACUAGAAACUGCAGAUCGUACCGUAGAUUUCACUGGAGCAAAGCUGUAAAAUAUAUUUUAGUUACUUCAUUAUUAGUUUCAUGAAUAUUGAAAGACGAGGCAGUGGACUGAUUGACGGUUGGAUCUCAUGAAAGUUUCACACACAAGACGCUUGUCUAGCUAUACUUAGUUCAUUUCACAAAUAGUUUAUUUAAAUUCUACUUAGAUAAUAUGAUAGUGCAACUUGUACUGAUUUAUGAAUUAUAAGGGAGAAGCAUACCUAACAGGGUGGGUGUAAUUUUAUUUAUUUAUUUUGAAAAUGAUUUACUUUUAUGUGAAAAAAAGGUUCGAUGGUGUGUAUUAGUGAUGAUCGUUAUUGUUUAUUCUCAUGUAUUAGUGAUGAUUGCUAUUGUUUAUUCUCUUUGAGCCGCAUGUUGGCUCAAGUACUCUUUCAAACCAGCUCUUGCAGGUCUUUCUCAUGCUUUUCAAUGUACUGUCGAAACGGUAUAUGGCCUAUAUCAGGUUCGUUUGUUUAAUCACAUUUGAUGGGUGGUUGCUCUUCUAUAUUUGAGUUCUUUAUAUGGGGAGUUGGGAGUUCUCCCAAGGUUCUACUUGUGAAGGUAUUUUUGGGUGUUGGUUAUUUUUCUGUCAAUUGAUUGGGUUUGCAUGUAUUCUCUGUUUUACCAUGAAAGCAUUAGUGAAGUAAUGAAGAUUCAAGUAUACAGAUGGAAAUUUAAUAAGGGAAAGUUUGUGGUUGGUCUUUGGUUCAUGUUUCUGUCACAUACUGCAUCACUUAAUUAUUUUCCAAUUUGUCAUAACUAUGGCAUAGAUGACAGGAUUUAACCAUGACAUGAUUGUAAUUCUUCUCAUUAUUUCCAGCUUUGAUCAUGACUGGAAGAAAAUAAAGGCAUUUGUCAGCUCAAAGACAGUUAUUCAGGUUCAAAACUGGCAUGGGUCAAACUUAUAGUUACCUCUUCUUUGGUAGAUAUACAGAAAUCUUUGAAGAAGUUGUUGUCACAUGGGACUAUUUUAGUAGGCCACAGUUUAUAUAAUGAUCUACAAGGUAUGCAAAGGACCUUGUCACUCUUAAAGAAGCUCUAUUUAAUCAAUUUGUUGAAAAUUCUGAUUAGUAGUUUUUUUUUUUUUAUUAUUAGUAGUUCUCUUUCAUCCAUCCUAAUUGACUUUCUUACGUUGUUGUGGAGUGUUCUUUUCUAAUGCUUCAUGCUUGUGGUUUGUUCUCCUCUUUUACUUAUUUUAAUUUGUUUUUAAUAAUUUCUAUAGUUGCAUGUACUACAGAAUUCAGAACUAUUAGUGAUCCUUCAAAGUAUGAUAGUUGAGGAGUAACUUUUGUUUCCUGAUUUGAUACUCAAAGAAAAGAAAUCUUAGCAUCUGAUGAUUGUUUACCCUGCAUGCAUUUGUUGGUAUCAGAUCCAUUGCUCAUGGAAACAUCUCAAGUAGUUAGGGUGGCCUAGGCCAUGCAACAUCAAUAUCUCAUGUAGACCCACCCAACCCAACAAGCCCAGCCAAUCAGUUCCACCCAAAUAUUCAAGGGUGUGUCAUUUGGAAAAUACAGCAAUCACAUUCUGCAUUGGGUGGAAUGGACUUCCUCUGUUGAACCAACCUGCAAUGGCAGAGUGAGCUAGUUUCUCUAUUCAAAGGAUCAGGAACAAUGGUAAUUGAGGCAAGUGGGCAUUCUACUCACUGGGAAUUUAUUUACAUCUAAAUUCAUCUCUACUGAGCAUUUGGGGUUGCACAGAAUUUAAUAUACAACUAGCAGGCAAUCAUUUUCCGCUUUAAAGAAUUUUGCCUUUGAUUGGCUUUGUGAGGUAAUUUUAAGACCUGU
Magnolia sinica is the source of this 3246-nucleotide long non-coding RNA. RefSeq lists it as uncharacterized. The record is from RefSeq and is a predicted model, not a curated record. Lineage: Eukaryota; Viridiplantae; Streptophyta; Magnoliopsida; Magnoliales; Magnoliaceae. The transcript has 4 exons.